UCAUUUUCCUUCAUCCACAUCAGCAUUGUAGUUUAAAUGAAAAUGUAAUUUUUUUUUUUAGUUUUUUUUUGGCAGAUUUAGGUUUUGGGCCAUUUUUUGCCAUUUAGGAUUAAGCCCAUUUUAGAAUUUGACCUAGGGUUUUUUGCAAAAGGGGGGAAGAUCCCAAACUCUCUCACACUCUCUCAUUAAGGUUUUUCUUUUUUUUUUGGACAGCAAGGGAGAGCUCUCUUCUAGGUUUUCAUCUUCAUUUAGUUUUUCCUUUUCAUUGUAUUGAAUUUGAAUUUCAUUUUAAUUGCAAUCUCCAUUUUUGUUUCUGUCUCUACACUUCCAUUCUUCAUUUUGAAUUUCGUUUUCUCCCAAUUUUGUUUCCUGCUAGUUGUUACGUUUUUUUUUUUCUGUUGUUGCGUUUCAGGUUUCCAAUUCCAGUGUUACUUCGUUUUGUGUUUCCGUUUCUGGAUUGGGUUGCACUUUUUU
This 474-nucleotide long non-coding RNA is filed under the name Vigna radiata. RNAcentral's name for it is "long non-coding RNA (VRAD_LNC014264)". Lineage: Eukaryota; Viridiplantae; Streptophyta; Magnoliopsida; Fabales; Fabaceae. The record is from RNAcentral.